RNAcentral lists this ribosomal RNA (459 nucleotides) under uncultured bacterium. RNAcentral describes it as "partial 16S ribosomal RNA". It matches the Rfam family "Bacterial small subunit ribosomal RNA", at positions 338 to 795 of the family's 1533-position model. The record is from RNAcentral.
CCUACGGGAGGCAGCAGUGAGGAAUAUUGGUCAAUGGUCGGGAGACUGAACCAGCCAAGCCGCGUGAGGGAGGAAGGUACAGAGUAUCGUAAACCUCUUUUGUCAGGGAACAAAGACUGGGACGCGUCCCCGGAUGAGUGUACCUGAAGAAAAAGCAUCGGCUAACUCCGUGCCAGCAGCCGCGGUAAUACGGAGGAUGCGAGCGUUAUCCGGAUUUAUUGGGUUAAAAGGGUGCGCAGGCGGUCUGUUAAGUCAGCGGUCAAAGCCCGGGGCGGAACCCCGGCCCGCCGUUGAAACUGGCAGUCGCGAGUUGGAGAGAAGUAUGCGGAAGGCGCGGUGUAGCGAGGAAAUGCAUAGAUAUCGCGCAGAACUCCGAUUGCGAAGGCAGCAAGCCGGCUCCACACUGACGCUGAGGCACGAAAGCGUGGGUAUCGAACAGGAUUAGAUACCCCAGUAGUC